GACGUAGGUGGCGAACGUUAUCCGGAAUCAUUGGGCGUAAAGGGUGCGUAGAUGGCAUGAUAAGUUAUUAGUGGGAAAUCGAGGCUCAACCUCGUGGAAGCUAGUAAUACUGUUUUGCUUGAGUGCAGAGGAGGUUAACGGAACUCCAUGUGGAGCGGUAAAAUGCGUAGAUAUAUGGAAGAACAUCAAUAACGGCGAAGGCAGUUAACUAUUCUGUUACUGACAUUGAGGCAUGAAAGCGUGGGGAGCAAAACGG
RNAcentral lists this ribosomal RNA (256 nucleotides) under uncultured bacterium. Its description in RNAcentral is "partial 16S ribosomal RNA". It matches the Rfam family "Bacterial small subunit ribosomal RNA", at positions 524 to 776 of the family's 1533-position model. The record is from RNAcentral.